AAGUCGUAACAAGGUUUCCGUAGGUGAACCUGCGGAAGGAUCAUUACAUUCAGUAGCUUGCUACUGUUAGGGAGGCCGGUUAGUCUGUAUAGUAUCACUACUGAUGAGCAGUACGGCCUUCUGUCUGUACCCUUGUCUUUUGCGCACUCAUGUUUCCUUGGCUGGGUUUACGCCCGCCGGCUGGACAACUCUAUAACCUUUUUAAUUUUUAAUUAGCGUCUGAAAAACCUAAUAAUUACAACUUUCAACAACGGAUCUCUUGGUUCUG
RNAcentral lists this unclassified non-coding RNA (268 nucleotides) under fungal sp. Its description in RNAcentral is "partial internal transcribed spacer region". The stretch from base 1 to 46 matches the Rfam family "Eukaryotic small subunit ribosomal RNA", at positions 1786 to 1831 of the family's 1831-position model. Lineage: Eukaryota; Fungi. The record is from RNAcentral.